AACACGGCGGAUUAGCUCGGGAUUAUGUUGUCAGAGUUAGCCUUGACGGACAAACUGCAGAGGAAUAAAUUGCAAUCUGUUUGAGGAGCCCACUGCCACGCAAACAGGAGAGGCAUCGGCUCGCCUCGCAGCCUGUCCAAGAUGACAGCGAGAGGAGAAAAUCAUUAAUAAUUUAUAAACAAAGUCCACGGCCAUUAGCGACAUCUGCCCGCGCGGGCUGGUCGACGCGUCUGCUCGUCUGACCCCUAACGUCACGCGCCGCUUCGUGGUAAAACUUGGAACCAAGAGUGGCAGAGCGCGUACAGAGAUGAGGGAGGUUUUACCAGAGAGCUCAGAAAAUGGGCAGAAGCUGGCGUCCCUUUGUCUGAUAAGAGCCUGAGAAAGGAGCAGGCACCAACCUCCACAUGUGCAUUUUGACUGGUUUUCCUGAAGAAGCAACUCAUUUUGGUCGCGUGCCACUUUAGAAUGAGCCUUCACUGAAGCCAUGGAAAUGACUUGGGUAGUUUGAUUAGAGCCAGAGAGGCCAGUGAACAAAGCCCAGUCCAACCCACCCAUAGUGAUGCAUUCAUGGCAAAAAAGCUUGGAGGUGAUUCUGCAUCCGUGUUUUUAUUUCAUGCUUUUAGAUCACAGCUUUUAUAAAUCCAGGCUGAAGUGAGAUGCUGCAACUAGACGCUGGUACUUUACUGAUGUCCUUAAGGAUGCAGAACUGUGUUAAGGAUGCGUUAAUAUAAAUUAAUUUUUUUUAUUAUUUAAAAAAUAUAACAAUAAGUAAAAUAAAUAUAAAUAAUUACAUUUUUAAUUAUUAGAGUGUCUUUUUGAUGAGUAAAGGCCAAAGGUUUGGAGGAACAGGUUUCUUUUAUUUCAGGAGUGAAUUGGCCCAAUCUGUGUCCGUGCAGCAGCUCUGCUGUCGAGGACUGACUGGCAUGGUAAAAUGUAUUAAUGAGCUUUACUGCAUUCUGUCCUGUCCUUCAUCAUUAGGAAUGCAUGUCUGUAUGUUAAACAUAUGAAUAUGCAUCGCCAUAGAGCAUUUGCUCUCAGAGUUAGCAGCGAGCCAGCGCUGUGCCUUGAAUAAUAAUCCGCCGGAGAAACGAACAGAUUUUUCUUUGCCUUCGACUUGUAAUUGAAAAAGAUAAUAACGGCACUUUUUUUUUUUUUUUUUUACAAUUCACGAGCAAAACUAAUUCUGAAUGUUAAAAUCUGCUCUGACUGAGGGAAGUGUAUGCGGCGAUGUUUGCUUAUAUGAUAAAAAGAAAUUUUAUGUUUGCAUAUUUACAUAUUUUAAUCUACUUACACUUAGACUGUAUGUAAGUGUAAUAUCACUAUGUCUUAGAAAGAAAAUACAUGUACUGGUAUGUUAAUAAAAGCAAAUUAAACUGGUGAGCAAAUAUAUUUGUCACAUUUAUUUAAUUUCUGGCUCCUUCCCAGAACAGAUCUACUGCAGUGUUUCCAGUCGCACUGAGGGCGAGCCACAGGUCAGCAGGGGUCACUGGAUAAAGGUUAACAAAUUACCACAACGUCUCCCACUCACCUGAUUGAUGCUGAGUGGGGGAGGGCGUGUGUAUAACAGUUAGGUCAACAUGAGGUAAUGAAGGCUGUGGCCUAGAAAAUGCAACAAAAUCAAACACAAUCAGGGCAAAAUCGCUUCUCAGGAUCCUCUCAGACGGUUCUGUCACUGUUAGCUCACAAACAGCUCGCUCCCCUCAAGAACAGGCAUAAAGAGUGAAUGCAGGGAGGAACCAAAGCUUCUGAUUUACUGACAGGACAAUUAGACAGAGCAAAUCUGCUAUCGGGUCUAAAUACUCCAGAUAGCGGGUCCGCAGGCGUCUCACCCGGCCGGGCAUCAUGGGAGUGUUCAUGUUGACGGGUUUAUCUGGGCAAAGGCGCAGUCAUCAUGACCGGAGCUGCGAUAAACGUCAUUAAAGGAAGCGACAGGCACUUAAUGGCUUCAUUCCAAAGAGAACAGCAACAACCCAUGCGCGAGUUUAAAACCCCGAAACGAGAAGAGUUUCCAGAAUCUCAUAAAGCAUUUUGAAGGCUCGACGUACUCCUCGCUGGUCUCGAGUCCCCACUGCAAACAAAUAAAUCAGCUCCUCGCACACAACUGUUGACCCGCGGUGACUUCACUCGCAGGAAACGUGGAGUUUCUACUUUCUCUUUGAUUCCCAGACGGCGUUAUCUGCUAUCUGUCUGGGGGCGAGAGGCUGAACGGUAGCGUUGGACGCUUGAAUGUCUCUCUAAAUAAACUCCAUCGUCAUAUUAGGUUUUAAUGGGCAAACUUCAACCUCCGGGGCUGUGACCCCUUUGAAUGGAUUCAGUUAAAUACUCAAAUAUAGGACUGCUCUCAACAUUGCCUUCUGCCAAACACAUCCAGCUUUGUAGGAUAAAAGUAAUAACAGCACACAAUCAAAAAGCCUUAGAGGCAAAUAUUUUUGCCCUUCGCAUCGUGAACCAGACAUCUACACAGUAUGAUAAUUGUUGGAGCCUAUUUCUGCUGAAAACAUUAUUGGAAACAUUACGAACUGAAGCUUCAACACUGGGUCAAUUGACGUAGGUACAUGUCUGCUUCCUCCCACCUUCCUGUUCUCACAGGGGAGGUCCAGAAACCAGAGGAUGCCCACAGAUCACAGGGGAGAGGAGAGCACGCGAAGCACCAAAAAAACAACAGAUGUUAUCAAAUUGGAGGAAUGAGCAACAGAAUAACUCGGUUCAAUAUGUGCAUGACUCCCUCGUUUUUCUUUUCUAGCUGAAACUAAUGAAUUUUUGUGGGGAGAGGAAAUGCUUUGGGAAUAGGUAGAAAUUUCAUCAAACACCGGAUGUGUGCGCUUGAUUAGUAAUUCAGACCAAAGCUAACUUUGGUAAGACAAUAUUACAAGAGGGCUCAAGGAAAUGGCUAAUGAGCAGCUAAGCUAACGUUAUCUUGCUCCAGAGCAUACAGUCAUCUGAUUUUCUAGGCAUUGGAUCCUAAUUGGAUUGUGAGGAAGUGAAGAGGACAAAGAACAUUUAUCUUUUACAAUUAUCAGGAAUUCAUAUCCUGGGCAAAUUUGCCAGCUUGCAUUACUAUUCGAUUGGAUUAACUAUUGAUGAGCAGCAGAAACCAAUAUCAUUUCAAUCUUCCAGCCUCUAAUAGUCAAUGGAUUUUUCUGAUUUCAGAUGUUGGAGGAAGCUUAAAGGAAUCGCAUGUGAUUUCUGACCAUCUUUCGAGUCUUUUUAAUUCCGCAGCGGGUCUUUCUGUCUUUCACCACCUGUCGUUCAUUAGCCUUUGGUGACCGGCAAUGCAGCGGAGGCAAUGCAACGGAGGCUGCGUCCUGGUGAAGAGCCAGCAGAGCGUGAGGUCAGUCGUCUGCUUUUUACAGGCAACAGGGGUUCGAGGGAAGGUCACGAGACAAGGCUGGGUCAUUUUGUCUCGGGGUUCAUCAGUUCAGAUAAGGUAACAGGGUGAGAUGGCCACAGACAGAACCUGAGACUUCAUUACAUAAUGUCACAUGCGCUGACACCUUUCAGGAGAGCGUGGGGGGAAAGUUCUCUUUUCCAGCUGUUGUCGGGUUCAGUGGUUACACCAAUGUUUUGUCUUCCCUCGGAGUAAAAAAGCAACAGUUAUUACCAAGCUCAUGUCUGACGUCCACAGGUUACGGGGCCAAUUGAGGCCAGAUGGAUGAAAACGGCCCGCGUGAGGUGUGACGUGAGGAGACGUUAGGCCCAUAAAGCCAGGUGACGAUGGGGAUUCCAGCAGCCGGAGUCCGGCGGGUUCAUCGCGCGGCCUAUCGCGCGAUCGGCACACUGCCCUUCUGCUGACUCCCUCACAGGCUCUGCUACAAUAACACGCUUGCCUUUCAUUCUGGUGCAAACCUCAAGCCUCCCCCGUCCCAGAGCCCUCCUCCCUCCACCACGCUAACACCAACACGGGGAACGUGAGGCAGCCCUAGUGAGAUAAAAGCUGGAGAAUAUUUAUGUCGGCCUCCUUUACUCCUGUUAGUCUGGAUGUGAUUACCAAGAUAACCUUUAUUAUUAUUAUUAGUUUUAUUAUUAUUCUAUGCUUUCAUUAAAUUCUCCUCGGUGCUCAGAACAAUCAGCUGUUUCAGCCCCCUGAGCGCUAGUCAAGGUUAACAGUGCCAUCUACAGUAGAGAGGAAUACUCCGCCAUGCGCUUGGAUGGGCUGGAGAGUUCCAGUCCAAGGAGCCGGACAGCACCUCUCACUGAGGUCGGGCCGCACGCUCAGGCCCAGAGGAGAAUUCCCAAAAGCAGAUUCCAGAAGGAGAAUGGAAUCAAGAGCCCUGAUGAGAAUUCCACUAAUCAGCUGAGGAUUAACAGGGACUCAGACGACACUACAUCUAAUUCCCCCUUCACUGCCACUGGGGCAACAAGAGGCCCCACGCAGCACUGCAGCACCGAACGCGCGUCUGCUAAGAAUCGAGGCUGAAGGCGUCAGAGCUCCGCGCUCCGGCCUCUGCUGGCGCUUGUAUUUUCCUCCUGUUCUCCCGCUCUAAUCCUGCACGCCUGGAUAAGAACAUGAUGGUCAGCUUGUGUUUUUCAAAGUGACACCGGCAUCAGAAGCUCAUUCAUUUUAAUGCCGAGGCUCAUUUACUUGCCGGGUCAUGCUGGGCCACCCACAAAGCAAAACUACUUAUAGGAGAGCGUGUUGUUUCACACCCUGAGAGAUGAGAUACAUAUUUCCAUCAGUAGUUGAGCAUCUGGUAAAUAUUAAUGUCUUAUAGCAUGUCUUUGGCCCGAUGCUUAUUUAUGGUAAUAUAUUAGCGUGGGUAGGUUGUGUUUUUAGUCUUUGGCAGCACUCCCGUGCUAUCUCGCAGACAGGUUGGCUUCCCAGCCUCCCACAGUUUUGCAGUAAUGAAGGAGCUGUCUUACCCAAACAAACAGGCUCUCUGGAGAUGUACCUCGACUACCUCCUUAAUCCAGGAAGUCUCUCUUAUCUCCCCACAAAUGGCCACGUGGUGAGGCGCACCACGCUACAGCCUCAUUCAUCAGUGAAACCCCGGAGCAGGUACGACGCAGGAGGUGGAACGCGACGGUGGACGUUGGUUCUGUGCAGGAAGACGCUCUAUUUAAAUACGUUUAUUUAUUGUCAGACGUGUUCAUGAGCCGUCCAGUGUCGUGCGGCCACUUGUCCGAGUGGUAAAAAAAAGCCUUUCAGUAAAGAGGAGUCUUCUGUGGAGGAGUUGUGACACCCGGCGCCGCUUAUUAGCUUCUCCACUGAACGCACUCCCACACAGAGAGCACUGGACCAGGCAGCGCGUGGUGAAAUAAAGAUCAGGCGGCCGGCGACACAGUGUUCAAACGCAUCCGUGAAAUCACACUGUAAAAACAAUAAUGGACUGAAGAGAAUGAAAUCCUGCAACUUCCCAGACAAACAACCUGAGGCACAAGGUCUUACCUCAGUUUCAUUAUGAAGUGACAUGAUGCUACUUGCUGUGAGAAUAUCAGUAAUAAUAAUAUAAUAUAAAUAAAUAAAAUAGGGCAUUUAUGUUGUCAGUUUUCUCAUAAUUACAAUUAUUAAAUUCAAAGACUGUUUUCUAGAAUCUGAUUAUUUUCCUGUUAGAAUCCCUCUUACCUUGAACUUUGUUUUAUUGAUCAUUUAUAUUUUUUAUGUAUGUAUGUAUGUAUAAAAUA
This is a long non-coding RNA of Betta splendens (Siamese fighting fish), 5622 nucleotides long. RefSeq lists it as uncharacterized. The record is from RefSeq and is a predicted model, not a curated record. The transcript is spliced from 3 exons. NCBI's taxonomy places the organism in Eukaryota, Metazoa, Chordata, Actinopteri, Anabantiformes, Osphronemidae.